CCCAGCCUAGCCAGUCCCCUCCUGGAGCGGCGCGAAGACUCUCUGGUCCCCAACCGCCGCCUCCGCUCCGGAACUCGGAGUCCUGGUGGUCUUGCUGCAUUUUUAGCCAAGCGCAGAUUUUGGCACUACCACCCCCUCCCCGGCCCCGCAGCCACUUAUGAUGACUCGCUGGAUCGUGGGGAUGGGGUCUUGCCUCCGCGAGCGCGCGUGUGAGCCAGCUUGUGUGCAGGUCGCGGUGCCCACGCGCAGAGCUCUGAAGCAGCCUUCCAUGCUUCGUGGUUAUUUCGGUUUCCAGGGAAACGAGGUUCGUUGCCGGGAGCCAGUGCAGUAUCCUCUUCUCUGUACUCAGACGCUAAGACGCAUGUAGCACCUCCCUGCGCAUCGGUGCUACUCUGGACAAGGACGGUCCCACAGUCAGGACCCCAGAAGCUCCACAUCGCGGUCCCUUGGGGUUUACAGCCUCCCUGUCGUUAUGUUCACCCACCUCACUCUGCCUGGGCCUUUUUGCAAUCUCCUUGCUCCUGGGAUUGUCCCCUACUCCACUCCGGGGCCUCACCUGGCAACCCCCGCCCCCCUUACCUUCAUCCCACUAUAGCUUCCGUUUGGUUGGCCCCAGUUGUUUUAUGUCGCCAUGCUGAGGGUUUUACAGGACUUUCUAUUUCACUCCUUGCAACAAAUUCCAAGCAAGAGGCACUAUUGAUCUAUCAUCUGCAGAUAGAUGGCUUCCCUGGCAACUGCACAGUGGUGAGUCAUCCAGAGAGCUUUCAUGAGAUCAAGCAGUGGGAUCUCACAAGUGUGACGAUGCACCUUGAUUAUUAUUUCAAAGGCUUUGUCUAUGAAAUAUUAGAGAUCCACAAAAAUGAAAUAUACAUGUAGCACCAUUGUAACUUAUAAACGAGCAACUGACUCCUUGCACUCAAACAUCACCACCACAGGAGUUGAGAACCAGCCUGUGGCUGCCAUGGCCACCUCCCUGCUACCAAGGCACUACCCAAUUCAUCUGAAGUCCCUUCUUUGCACUUUCAGCUAUCUUUAUCGACAAGCACAGGUUUCUAACCACCACACUUUGGUCUUGCUUGUUUUUGAACUUCAUAUAAACAGAAUACCAAACCUAAUGUGCACCUAUCUGGCUUCCUUCAUUUGACAGCAUGUCUGUGAAAUGUACUCAUGUUGUUGUAUGCAGCUGAAGCUUACUCUUUGCCGGCUAUAAAUCCACUGUAUAAGAUGUCACAGCUGCUUUGCAUCAUUGGUGAUGCACGCCUGCCUCCAGGUUAGGAAUAUUAUAAACUUCUAAUUUGUGUACCUUGGAGCUCCUGGGUGAACAUGCAUUUUGGGGUGUGCACCUAAGAAAGAAAUUGCUGGGGGUGAUACCUAUCUUUGCUUUUUGUAUCCUUCUGUAUUGAGAUGCAGUUUAUACGCCCUGGUUUUAAGAAUUUGGAGGUGGGAUGCCUUACCACCGCCUCAUGGAGCGUAACUGGCCCACCUUCCCCAAAAGUCCCCUCUUUGGCCACCCCUCCUCCACUCUAGGCCUAUGCGAUCUCCAUCUGCCACCUGUCACUGUGGUUUUAAUUUAGCAUUUUGUGUGCAUAGACACACACAGGAGCCAGUCUUUUUGUGUCUGGCUUCUUUCACUUGGCAUAAUGUGUCUCGGGUUUGUGCAUGUUGUUGCAUGAAUCAGUGGAUCGUUGCUUUUAGUGCUGAGUGGAAUUCUGCUGACCUGUAUCUAUCCAUUCACAAAAUGAUGGACAUCUGGGCUUUUUCUCAAGAGUUAUUCAGAAUAAGGGUGCUGAUCAGAAGUGCUUGGUAGUGUCAUUCAAGUACAACUCUUUUGUGAUCAUAUGGUCACUUCUCUUGGGAAGAUACUUAGAAGAGGGAUUGCUAAAUUUUGUCAUAGGCACCUGUUAUGGUUUGGGUCUAGAUGUCCCCCCAAAGCCUCAUGUGGUCAUAGGCUUGAUCUAGAGCAUGUGAAGCUGGAAGUGAUUCAUGUUGCAAUGCUAGGCUCUGGGUCCUAGGAUUAAGGGAGUGUUGCCCACCCUAAGUAAUCUGAAUAAAAUAAAAGAGACAGGGCCAUGCUGUUAAGUUUCUCUUGUUGCUUUUGCUGUCUUCCACUGCCAUGAACCCAAUGAAGCUGUCUUGUUACAUUUGCUGCUUUGUGCACACUGUGUUGUUUCUCCUCUGUGAUGCUUGUUUGCCAUCCCAGCCUUGGAUCCAGCUGAUUAUGGACUGAACCUCUACAAACUGUAAGCCAAAUAAUCCCCUUCCCCUUUAACUUUGACUGUCAGGUCUGUUGUCUUAGCAAUGAGAGGAAAGUAACUAACACAGCUCCUGUUUAACUUCAGAUAAGCUGACAGACUUCCAGAGUGGCCAAAUGCUUUUGCAUUCCCCAUACCAAUGUGUGAGCAUUCCUGAGCUUCUGUACAGAAGCCUCGGAAGCAGCCAGCCUCCUAAUGAUGCUGCCCUGAUGAAGGGUCUGGCAUGGCAUCUGAUUGUGAUUUCAGUGUCAUGCCACACCUUCCACGGAUCUUCACGAGGGGUCUUUUCAGAUCUUCUGAUGAUGUGAAAGAGUGGGGUUGUCUUCCGUGCCUGAGAAGUGAUGUUCUUCCAGAAAUGUUUUCUUGAACCAAGACCACAAAUGGUCCCUCCCAUGUCUUUCGGAAGUCUUAUACUUUUAGCUUACACAUCUGUCUGACUUGUUUCAAAUUAACUUUUGUAUAGAGUGAAGUUACAGUCAAGGUUUUAUUUUUGCAUAUGGCUAUCCAAUUGUUCAGCACCAUUUGCCAAAUAUACUUACUUUUAACCUUGGCACUUGUCUUGAAAAUCAAGUGACGAUAAAAAAAAAUAUGAGGCUAUUUCUGCACUGUCAGAUCUGUCCUAUUAAUUGAUAGGCCCAUCCCUACACCAAUACCACACUAUCUUCAUUAUAGGAGCACUAUAGGAAGUCUUAGAACCAGUCACUGUAAGUCUUCCAAACUUGUUCUUUUUCAAAACUGUACAUCUGUUCUAGGUCCUUUACAUUUCCAUAUGGAUUUUAGAAUUAGCUUAGUUUCUACUAAAAUGUCUUAUCAGGAGUUUGAUUGGGAUUAUAUUGGACCUGUAUAUUAAUUUGAAAAUAACUGAUAUGUUGACAGUAUUGAAUCUUCUGGCCUACA
Long non-coding RNA from Fukomys damarensis (Damara mole-rat), 3149 nucleotides. The record is from Ensembl. Lineage: Eukaryota; Metazoa; Chordata; Mammalia; Rodentia; Bathyergidae.